This 488-nucleotide ribosomal RNA is filed under the name uncultured soil bacterium. RNAcentral describes it as "bacterial SSU rRNA". It matches the Rfam family "Bacterial small subunit ribosomal RNA", at positions 8 to 490 of the family's 1533-position model. The record is from RNAcentral.
AGAGUUUGAUCCUGGCUCAGAUUGAACGCUGGCGGCGUGCCUAACACAUGCAAGUCGAGCGGUAACAGGUGUAGCAAUACAUGCUGACGAGCGGCGAACGGGUGAGUAAUGCUUCGGAAUCUACCCAGUAGUGGGGAAUAACUAACCGAAAGGUUAGCUAAUACCGCAUACGUCCUACGGGAGAAAGCGGGGGUCGCAAGACCUCGCGCUAUUGGAUGAGCCGAAGUCGGAUUAGCUAGUUGGUGAGGUAACGGCUCACCAAGGCGACGAUCCGUAGCUGGUCUGAGAGGACGACCAGCCACACUGGAACUGAGACACGGUCCAGACUCCUACGGGAGGCAGCAGUGGGGAAUAUUGGACAAUGGGGGAAACCCUGAUCCAGCGACGCCGCGUGUGUGAAGAAGGCCUGCGGGUUGUAAAGCACUUUUAGUGGGGAUGAAAAGUUCAGGGCUAAUACCCUUGGGCAUUGACCUAACCCACAGAAAAAG